UACAUUUGCAGUCUCAUACAUAAUAAUCAUUUAAAUAAUAUUGGAAUG
This 48-nucleotide non-coding RNA is filed under the name unclassified sequences. Its description in RNAcentral is "S15-Flavobacteria ribosomal protein leader". It matches the Rfam family "S15-Flavobacteria ribosomal protein leader". The record is from RNAcentral.